This 492-nucleotide ribosomal RNA is filed under the name uncultured bacterium. Its description in RNAcentral is "partial 16S ribosomal RNA". It matches the Rfam family "Bacterial small subunit ribosomal RNA", at positions 29 to 507 of the family's 1533-position model. The record is from RNAcentral.
AGUGAACGCUGGCGGUAGGCCUAACACAUGCAAGUCGAACGGCAGCACAGUAAGAGCUUGCUCUUACGGGUGGCGAGUGGCGGACGGGUGAGGAAUACAUCGGAAUCUACUUUUUCGUGGGGGAUAACGUAGGUAAACUUACGCUAAUACCGCAUACUACCUACGGGUGAAAGCAGGGGAUCUUCGGACCUUGCGCGAUUGAAUGAGCCGAUGUCGGAUUAGCUAGUUGGCGGGGUAAAGGCCCACCAAGGCGACGAUCCGUAGCUGGUCUGAGAGGAUGAUCAGCCACACUGGAACUGAGACACGGUCCAGACUCCUACGGGAGGCAGCAGUGGGGAAUAUUGGACAAUGGGCGCAAGCCUGAUCCGGCCAUACCGCGUGGGUGAAGAAGGCCUUCGGGUUGUAAAGCCCUUUUGUUGGGAAAGAAAAGCAGCAGGUUAAUACCCCGCUGUUCUGACGGUACCCAAAGAAUAAGCACCGGCUAACUUCGUG